Molecule: long non-coding RNA, 378 nt
Filed under: Pan troglodytes (chimpanzee)
Lineage: Eukaryota; Metazoa; Chordata; Mammalia; Primates; Hominidae
Description: long non-coding RNA NONPTRT003504
Source: RNAcentral
AGGAAAGCCUGGGUAUUUGGAGGUGAAGUCAGAAAUAAGAACAAAGCUAAAUCAGAUAUAUAAACAAAAAGUAGACUCAUUUUAGAUACAUGGCAGUAACAGGUACCAAUGCAUAAAAUUGUCUUCUCUUUCCUAUCCCCUACAGAGAAGAAACAACAGUGACUUUGAAUGAUAAGGACUGGAUUCUGGCCAGAACUCUGGCCUCUGCUAGCUGUAAGGUUCCUGAUCAGUUAAAUGGUGCAUCUUUUCAAGGGUGACUAAUUCAUUACCUGCUGCCCUGGAAUACGCAAUUGUCCAAAAAUUUUGUUUUGUUUUGUUUUUCAGCUAGGGAGUUUUCUUUCACUUUGCAAUUUAUUUCAUUUAUUCAUAGAAUUUUGA